UACGAAGGGGGCUAGCGUUGCUCGGAAUCACUGGGCGUAAAGCGCACGUAGGCGGAUCGUUAAGUCAGGGGUGAAAUCCUGGAGCUCAACUCCAGAACUGCCUUUGAUACUGGCGAUCUUGAGUUCGGGAGAGGUGAGUGGAACUGCGAGUGUAGAGGUGAAAUUCGUAGAUAUUCGCAAGAACACCAGUGGCGAAGGCGGCUCACUGGCCCGAUACUGACGCUGAGGCACGAAGGUCAGGGGAGCAAACGGG
This 253-nucleotide ribosomal RNA is filed under the name uncultured bacterium. RNAcentral's name for it is "partial 16S ribosomal RNA". It matches the Rfam family "Bacterial small subunit ribosomal RNA", at positions 524 to 776 of the family's 1533-position model. The record is from RNAcentral.